This 453-nucleotide ribosomal RNA is filed under the name uncultured Anoxybacillus sp. Its description in RNAcentral is "bacterial SSU rRNA". It matches the Rfam family "Bacterial small subunit ribosomal RNA", at positions 925 to 1382 of the family's 1533-position model. Lineage: Bacteria; Bacillati; Bacillota; Bacilli; Caryophanales; Anoxybacillaceae. The record is from RNAcentral.
ACAAGCGGUGGAGCAUGUGGUUAAUUCGAAGCAACGCGAAGAACCUUACCAGGUCUUGACAUCCCUGACAACCCGAGAGAUCGGCGUUCCCCUCGGGGGACAGGGUGACAGGUGGUGCAUGGUUGUCGUCAGCUCGUGUCGUGAGAUGUUGGGUUAAGUCCCGCAACGAGCGCAACCCUCGACCUUAGUUGCCAGCAUUCAGUUGGGCACUCUAAGGUGACUGCCGGCUAAAAGUCGGAGGAAGGUGGGAUGACGUCAAAUCAUCAUGCCCCUUAUGACCUGGGCUACACACGUGCUACAAUGGGCGGUACAAAGGGUCGCGAACCCGCGAGGGGGAGCCAAUCCCAAAAAGCCGCUCUCAGCUCGGAUUGCAGGCUGCAACUCGCCUGCAUGAAGCUGGAAUUGCUAGUAAUCGCGGAUCAGCAUGCCGCGGUGAAUACGUUCCCGGGCCUU